AGCGCGGGGCAACCUGGCGGCGAGUGGCGAACGGGUGAGUAAUAUAUCGGAACGUACCCAGAAGUGGGGGAUAACGUAGCGAAAGUUACGCUAAUACCGCAUACGAUCUACGGAUGAAAGUGGGGGACCUUCGGGCCUCAUGCUUGUGGAGCGGCCGAUAUCUGAUUAGCUAGUUGGUGGGGUAAAGGCUCACCAAGGCGACGAUCAGUAGCUGGUCUGAGAGGACGACCAGCCACACUGGGACUGAGACACGGCCCAGACUCCUACGGGAGGCAGCAGUGGGGAAUUUUGGACAAUGGGCGCAAGCCUGAUCCAGCAAUGCCGCGUGAGUGAAGAAGGCCUUCGGGUUGUAAAGCUCUUUUGUCAGGGAAGAAACGGCUCUAGCUAAUAUCUGGGGCUAAUGACGGUACCUGAAGAAUAAGCACCGGCUAACUACGUGCCAGCAGCCGCGGUAAUACGUAGGGUGCAAGCGUUAAUCGGAAUUACUGGGCGUAAAGCGUGCGCAGGCGGUUUUGUAAGUCUGACGUGAAAUCCCCGGGCUCAACCUGGGAAUUGCGUUGGAGACUGCAAGGCUGGAGUCUGGCAGAGGGGGGUAGAAUUCCACGUGUAGCAGUGAAAUGCGUAGAGAUGUGGAGGAACACCGAUGGCGAAGGCAGCCCCCUGGGUCAAGACUGACGCUCAUGCACGAAAGCGUGGGGAGCAAACAGGAUUAGAUACCCUGGUAGUCCACGCCCUAAACGAUGUCUACUAGUUGUCGGGUUUUAAUUAACUUGGU
Molecule: ribosomal RNA, 775 nt
Filed under: Massilia sp.
Lineage: Bacteria; Pseudomonadati; Pseudomonadota; Betaproteobacteria; Burkholderiales; Oxalobacteraceae
Description: bacterial SSU rRNA
Rfam family: Bacterial small subunit ribosomal RNA
Source: RNAcentral